AGUUGUUGCAGUUAAAAAGCUCGUAGUCGGAUGUCGGGCUCGGGCAGGCUGUCGGCUUCGGUCGGACGGCAGGCUCGGGUCUUUCUGCCUGAGGAUCCCGUUGCACUUAAUUGUGGGGCGUGGGGACGCAGGCCGUUUACUUUGAAAAAAUUAGAGUGUUCAAAGCAGGCCUACGCUUGAAUACAUUAGCAUGGAAUAAUGGAAUAGGACUUUGGUGCUAUUUUGUUGGUUUAUGGGACCGAAGUAAUGAUUAACAGGGACAGUUGGGGCCGUUUAUAUUUCGUUGUCAGAGGUGAAAUUCUUGGAUUUACGAAAGAUAAACUUCUGCGAAAGCAUUCGGCAAGGAUGUUUUCAUUGAUCAAGAACGAAAGUUAGGGGAUCGAAGACGAUCAGAUACCGUCGUAGUCUUAACCAUAAACUAUGCCGACUAGGGAUCAGUGGAUGUCAAUUUGCGACUCCAUUGGCACCUUGUGAGAAAUCAAAGUUUUUGGGUUCCGGGGGGAGUAUGGUCGCAAGGCUGAAACUUAAAGGAAUUGACGGAAGGGCACCAUCANGAGUGGAGCCUGCGGCUUAAUUUGACUCAACACGGGGAAACUUACCAGGUCCAGACAUAGUAAGGAUUGACAGAUUGAAAGCUCUUUCUUGAUUCUAUGGGUGGUGGUGCAUGGC
RNAcentral lists this ribosomal RNA (669 nucleotides) under uncultured eukaryote. Its description in RNAcentral is "SSU rRNA". It matches the Rfam family "Eukaryotic small subunit ribosomal RNA", at positions 608 to 1288 of the family's 1831-position model. The record is from RNAcentral.